Acanthosepion pharaonis is the source of this 110-nucleotide non-coding RNA. NCBI's taxonomy places the organism in Eukaryota, Metazoa, Mollusca, Cephalopoda, Sepiida, Sepiidae. The record is from the annotation of a GenBank genome assembly.
UACAACCAUAUCAUGUUGAAACACCGGUACCCGUACGAUUACCGGAGUUAAGCAACAUCGAGUCUGGUCAGUACCAAGAUGGGUGACCACUUAAGAAUAAAGGUGAUGUA